CGCAUCUGUGCAUGCAGCAUAUCAAUAACGGAGGAAAAGAAACUAACAAGGAUUCCCCUAGUAACGGCGAGUGAAGCGGGAAGAGCUCAAAUUUGAAAUCUUAAAGGGUUUCCCUUUACGAAUUGUAGUUUAAAGAAGUGUUUUCUGUUGAGGUUUUGGUAAAAGUUCUUUGGAAUAGGACAUCAUAGAGGGUGAGAAUCCCGUAUUUGACCUUUACUUUCAACUUUGUGAUACACUUUCAAGGAGUCGGAUUGUUUGGGAAUGCAGUCCAAAAUGGGUGGUAAAUUUCAUCUAAAGCUAAAUACUUGGCGAGAGACCGAUAGCGAACAAGUACCGUGAGGGAAAGAUGAAAAGAACUUUGAAAAGAGAGUUAAACAGUACGUGAAAUUGUCAAAAGGGAAGCGUUUGACACCAGUGUUGUUUUUCUGAAAAUCAAUUAAAGAACUGUUUAUGCUAAGCUGUUUAGACUUUAUCAGCUAUCUGUUUAGUUUUGAGCUUUUCUUUAAUGCACUUUUCAGUUAACAAGUCAACAUCAAUUUCUUUUGCUGUAAAAAAGCUUGAGGAAGGUGGCUUGAGAUUCGUCUUAAGUGUUUAUAGCCUCUUGCCUAUGCAGUCGGAGAGAUUGAGGUCUGCAGCGUAGAUCCUUCGGGGCUAAAUGCAUUUGUGCUAAGUUAUAGCAUUUUAUAGACAACUUGUUGACUAUGAUUUGUCUUGUAGCUUACUCGCUUAUGUUAUUUUACCUACGCUUAGGAUGUUGAGUCAUAGAGCACGCAG
Molecule: ribosomal RNA, 774 nt
Filed under: uncultured Neocallimastigales
Lineage: Eukaryota; Fungi; Neocallimastigomycota; Neocallimastigomycetes; Neocallimastigales
Description: partial large subunit ribosomal RNA
Rfam family: Eukaryotic large subunit ribosomal RNA
Source: RNAcentral